AUUGAACGCUGGCGGCAUGCCUUACACAUGCAAGUCGAACGGCAGCACGGGAGCAAUCCUGGUGGCGAGUGGCGAACGGGUGAGUAAUAUAUCGGAACGUGCCCAGUAGUGGGGGAUAGCCCGGCGAAAGCCGGAUUAAUACCGCAUGAGACCUGAGGGUGAAAGCGGGGGAUCGCAAGACCUCGCGCUAUUGGAGCGGCCGAUAUCAGAUUAGCUAGUUGGUGGGGUAAAGGCCUACCAAGGCAACGAUCUGUAGUUGGUCUGAGAGGACGACCAGCCACACUGGGACUGAGACACGGCCCAGACUCCUACGGGAGGCAGCAGUGGGGAAUUUUGGGACAAUGGGCGCAAGCCUGAUCCAGCAAUGCCGCGUGCAGGAAGAAGGCC
RNAcentral lists this ribosomal RNA (387 nucleotides) under uncultured bacterium. RNAcentral describes it as "bacterial SSU rRNA". It matches the Rfam family "Bacterial small subunit ribosomal RNA", at positions 29 to 416 of the family's 1533-position model. The record is from RNAcentral.